This 1263-nucleotide long non-coding RNA is filed under the name Helianthus annuus (common sunflower). RNAcentral describes it as "sRNA HanXRQr2_Chr03g0122351". The record is from RNAcentral. Lineage: Eukaryota; Viridiplantae; Streptophyta; Magnoliopsida; Asterales; Asteraceae.
GAAAGUAUUGAUCACAAAAAAGCCAAAAAGUGAGUACCGAAUCGGUACUGAAAUGGUUCAGUACGGUAUGUUCGAUAUCGGUACGUACUGGUUCGGUUUCGGUAUGUGGUAACAUGUGAAGUAGAUGAAACAUGAUAAAAAGGUCAUUGUCAAUGCUUAGCGAUCAAUACAGCUAUAAAGAAUUGGACCACUAGGCUAAAGCCCACUUCAUCCAAAGCUAUUUAAUGCACAAACUAUUUAAUAAAAAUAAAUUCAAUUUUAGAAAUAGAAAAUUGAGAAUACAACAGUUUGUCAAAUAAAAUUUUCUUGUUUAUGUAAAAGCAAAAAUACUGCCAAAUGAUGCAGAAACAAGAAUUGGAAGCACCACCACCCUGCUUCCUGUGUAUAAAUUUUGCUUUAAAGCUUCAGUUUCUGUAUACAUGCAGCCAAAAUUCCAGUGUAAAGACAACUACGCUAUUCAUGUAAACUCAAUUUAGUGAAACUAGAGCAACCCGUGUUGAAACGUUUACCUACAUACGGACUAUAUCCAACCCCAACGGGUUGAAUAGAUAAAGCUAAAAAAGUUUGGUCAAAAGUCACCAAAGUGUUUAUAAAUGUUCAUUACUUCGCAAAUCACUCAUUUCAAAAUAAUUAUUAUGCUACUAGUAUAUGAGUUGACCUGAAACUUUUUUUUCCAAAAACCAUCAUAUUUUUACAAACCAGGAUCAUAAGUCAUUAUUUCAAUAAACAAAUAUGAUUUUUUGGAUGUUAUAAUUUAUGAUUUCAUGCAUUAAAAAAUACAUUUUGGUGACUUACAACCGGAUUGAAAUGUUGCCUUUUUAGCUAAAUGUAGGAUUUUUAACUACGUGGGACGAGAGAUGACAUGCAGAACCACACAAGAAGUAUACUUAUCAUGUCAAAGGUAUGAGUCGACGUAACAUUUUAUUUUACUUUUUCCCUAGUUUUUUCGUUCCUUUUUAAUAAAAAAUUAGAAAAUUUUAAAAUAAAAGAUGGGAUAUGAAGAGGUACAUACCUAGGUGUAUAACCAAAACAAUCAAUAAUUUGCCAUAAUAUCCCUAAAUAAUUCCUUAGGUGCUGCAGUUGAAAGUAUAAUAAACUCAUGAGAAAAGGGUAACCCUGUAAAUCUCUCAUAUUGUUCAUAUGCCUGCCCUAUAAACAUCUCCACCCCUGUUACAACUAACGCACCACAUUCUCCUGCUUCCCGAAGCAACCUCGUAAUUUUUGGUGUGUAAACAGCAUCGAAUACCAGUGCGUAUGACUUCA